UGCAGUUCUAUCAAGAGCAGUAUUACUCACUAUAACAGCCAACCAUUUUAUUAUUUUCAAAGAAGAUGUUAAAGAAAAAUCGUAUCAACUUUCUUUCACUCUUGUUUUCUUUCUUCUUAAUCUUUACUAGUUUCAUUCAACUUGGAACACCCGCAAGGACCACAACCCUUGAGUUCCAGACCAGUGGCAAAUCCAAACUACUUGGUAAGUGCUUCAUAAUCUUUCUUUUUUACUUCUCAUUCAUUCUACAUGAUCAGAAAAAAUAAAGGUCAUUCCAGCUUUUCUUUGGGUUGAGACUUUUUAUCGAUGUUUAUGUCUUUUUCCUCGUGCCUUUUAUCUGAUUGUAGAAGAAUCAUGGAAUACUGAUGGCUAUGUUUGUGGAUACAAUUCGCCAUAUGCUUGCAACCUAAAAAUCCUCAUUUUUGUAGUAAUUAGUCUAAAACUUUAAACUCUAACCCUAAAAAAAUGAGAUUUGUUCUUACUCUUGUACAUCUCACCUUACAUCAAGUUGUUGCAUCUCAAAG
This 524-nucleotide long non-coding RNA is filed under the name Olea europaea (common olive). Its description in RNAcentral is "long non-coding RNA (OEUR_LNC015537)". The record is from RNAcentral. Lineage: Eukaryota; Viridiplantae; Streptophyta; Magnoliopsida; Lamiales; Oleaceae.